RNAcentral lists this unclassified non-coding RNA (426 nucleotides) under Hevea brasiliensis (rubber tree). The record is from RNAcentral. Lineage: Eukaryota; Viridiplantae; Streptophyta; Magnoliopsida; Malpighiales; Euphorbiaceae.
AGGGUCGGAGCUAGAGGCCAAUAUACGAGUUCAUCUGAACUUAGUAGCUUUAGUCAAACCAUGUGUUUGUAUCAAGAGAAAUGUGCUAUGUAUGUACAUAAAUUCGAUGUUACCAUCCUAGAAUUUCAAUAGAAUGCAUGAAAGUUCAAAUCCUAGCUCCGCCUCUCUAUAUGCUCCAAAUAAUACAGGCUGGAUUUCUUCUAAUCACAAGGUAGUGGAAAAGGAACCACCACCUUCAUGUCUAAUCCAGCAUCACCAAAUCCAAUGCCAUAACCUCCAUUUUCUAAAUCUUGCAUUUGAACAAUUUCAACAAGACAACCAAUAGGCUAUUUCUGUUUUACCUUAGAUGAGUAUCAUCAUAUGUGUCGAAAACAUUAUCCGGCAUGAUCAAUGGUAACUUCUCUAUAUACAUGAACAACCUUCUUA